This 70-nucleotide transfer RNA is filed under the name Dipodomys ordii (Ord's kangaroo rat). It matches the Rfam family "tRNA". Rfam says of the family: Transfer RNA (tRNA) molecules are approximately 80 nucleotides in length. Their secondary structure includes four short double-helical elements and three loops (D, anti-codon, and T loops). Lineage: Eukaryota; Metazoa; Chordata; Mammalia; Rodentia; Heteromyidae. The record is from Rfam by way of RNAcentral.
GGGACGGUGGCUCAGUGGUAGAGUGCUUGCCUAGCAUGCAUGAAGCCCUGGGUUCGAUUCCUCAGUACCA